RNAcentral lists this ribosomal RNA (415 nucleotides) under uncultured bacterium. Its description in RNAcentral is "bacterial SSU rRNA". It matches the Rfam family "Bacterial small subunit ribosomal RNA", at positions 47 to 507 of the family's 1533-position model. The record is from RNAcentral.
CCUAACACAUGCAAGUCGAACGCUUCAGCAAUGAAGAGUGGCAGACGGGUGAGUAACGCGUGGGAACCUUCCCAGUGGUACGGAAUAGCCCAGGGAAACUUGGGGUAAUACCGUAUAAGCCCUUCGGGGGAAAGAUUUAUCGCCAUUGGAUGGGCCCGCGUCGGAUUAGCUUGUUGGUGAGGUAAAAGCUCACCAAGGCGACGAUCCGUAGCUGGUCUGAGAGGAUGAUCAGCCACACUGGGACUGAGACACGGCCCAGACUCCUACGGGAGGCAGCAGUGGGGAAUAUUGGACAAUGGGCGCAAGCCUGAUCCAGGCCAUGCCGCGUGAGUGACGAAGGCCUUAGGGUUGUAAAGCUCUUUUGGCGGGGACGAUAAUGACGGUACCCGCAGAAUAAGCUCCGGCUAACUUCGUG